Molecule: non-coding RNA, 758 nt
Organism: Sardina pilchardus (European sardine)
Lineage: Eukaryota; Metazoa; Chordata; Actinopteri; Clupeiformes; Clupeidae
Source: the annotation of a RefSeq genome assembly
AUGGUGUCCUCAGGUCUAGAGGCCCUUGUCUUGACCCAGGACAAGACUGCAAGAGUUCAACUGGGGCAGAAUGUGAAGAUCCGUUGCGCACCAAGCGAUUUAAACACCGGCGGUGACGCUCGUCCUCAGUCCCCCCCUGGUGUGGUCUUGUUGGCCCCCUCCCAGGACCUCUCCUCUGGGGACAGGGCUGCUGUGGUGUGUCUGGCUCAGGGCUUCUACCCUGACGGUGCCACCCUGACCUGGUCAGAGGAUGGCAAAGCUGUGGCGGGCACUGAGUUCCAGACGGGCGAGUCUCAGCGCCAGUCUGAUGGCACCUUCUCCCUCAGCAGCGUCCUGACGGUCCAGCCGGAACGCUGGCGCUCUGGACACACCUACACCUGUCAGCUGAGCCACUCCGCCCUCUCCAGCCCUCUGAGCAAGAGUGUGGCACACGGCCAGUGCAGCUAGAGGCAGAGAGCAGGAGGCAGCCAAUCAAGCCCCACACACAGCACUGGCUCUGCUAUUGCUAUAUGCUCACUCUUUCCCAUGCACAAACAUGCAGUCUAUCCCUCUUAUGCAUUCUUCUACCAAAGGCCAGAGGAAUGAGUUUUGGGGCUUGUUGAAUGUUUAUUUGCUUAAAAGCAAGUGUGGCUACAUAGUUCUUUUGUUUAUUUUAAUUGCUUUAUGUGACAUAUAUUUUGAAAAUCUCUUUAUAAAUGCUUCUUAAUAAAACAUUCUCAUUUCAUGAAUAUGCAUGGGAUGUCAUCUUUUUCCUGAAU